UCCGCGGGGGCGUGUGGAUCAAGAGCUUCACAGCCAUUCCCCACGCUGACAGACCGCUGCUCGGCGGAUUGAUGCUGCUUUGCUUAUUUUAACUUUUUAAUUGGAUUAUUUCUACGUUAU
Molecule: long non-coding RNA, 120 nt
Organism: Melanotaenia boesemani (Boeseman's rainbowfish)
Lineage: Eukaryota; Metazoa; Chordata; Actinopteri; Atheriniformes; Melanotaeniidae
Exons: 3
Source: RefSeq, a predicted model, not a curated record